RNAcentral lists this ribosomal RNA (317 nucleotides) under uncultured bacterium. RNAcentral describes it as "bacterial SSU rRNA". It matches the Rfam family "Bacterial small subunit ribosomal RNA", at positions 30 to 342 of the family's 1533-position model. The record is from RNAcentral.
AUUGAACGCUGGCGGAAUGCUUUACACAUGCAAGUCGAACGGCAGCACGGGGGCGAACCCUCGUGGCGAGUGGCGAACGGGUGAGUAAUACAUCGGAACGUGCCCACGUCGUGGGGGAGUAACUACGCGAAAGCGUAGCUAAUACCGCAUACGAUCUACGGAUGAAAGCGGGGAGUCGCAAGACCUCGCGCGAUUGGAGCGGCCGAUGGCAGAUUAGGUUGUUGGUGAGGUAAAGGACGUCACCAAGCCGACGAUCUGUAGCUGGUCUGAGAGGACGACCAGCCACACUGGGACUGAGACACGGCCCAGACUCCUAC